Long non-coding RNA from Oxyura jamaicensis (ruddy duck), 954 nucleotides. RefSeq lists it as uncharacterized. The transcript is spliced from 2 exons. Lineage: Eukaryota; Metazoa; Chordata; Aves; Anseriformes; Anatidae. The record is from RefSeq and is a predicted model, not a curated record.
AUGCUUGUUAUACAUCUGUCCCUUUGUUUCUCCUCCUCUUCCUUUUACUACCUUUUUAGCACUCUCAUGCAUUUGUAUAUUAAUAUAUGACAAAGCAGUGUUACUUUUCUCUCAGAUCAAGAGCUUAUAUGUUAUUAUGAGAAAGUGUUAAUGUUUUAGAUCAUUUGGUAGGAUUCUUAGUGUACAUGCAGGUGAAAUACUGAUGGAAAAUAACUGAUAAUCACAGAAACUUGUAAAGUUUAAUAGUGGUGUUCUAAUGUAUUCUAGAAUAUUGGAGCCCAUACAUAAAUGGUUUCAGUUACCUGAGACUGACUUAUGUUUAUUUAUGGUGAAUGAGUGUUUAGCCUAGGACAAGGUACUAGGUAAAAAAGCCAUAAUUUAAGCAUAGAUGAAAAACUUAAAAUUUUUUAUUUGCAUUUGUUGCAAUCUGGGAAUGCAGUCAGUUAGCAUGACUCGGCUGACCUGUGAUGACAUGUUACUGCUUGGUAACUCAUCUGUAAUUGUAGGGUUUAUUUCAGUUGUAAGUAUGCAGCUAUAGUAUAAGCUGGUCAUCCAGCUCAAUGAUACUUUCCACUGAAAUCCAGUGUUAGCUAAGCUUUUUUUGUCUGUGAUAAGUCAUAUUACACUUCAUUUUAAUUCGAGAUUUCUGAGAAGAGUAGGGUUUGGGAGGUUAUUUUUCUAGCGUUGCAUACUUCAUUAGAAACUUGAUGGGGCGCUAGAUAGAACAAAAUACAGAAUGUUGUGUUAAAACUUGCCAUGCAGUACCACUAAUGUUUGACCUAAUUGCUGUUUUUAACAGCUGUAAUUGUGAGUGUGUGCACAGCAUAGAGAUAGCUGACAGUUUACAACUGACUUUAAUUUGUGUGUUGGGGUAACAACUGUUGAACUCAGAAUGUGCUGAGUUAGCCCAUCAAGAGCUAUUUGUCUGAGGCAUAGGUAGCAUAGCUUUCCCUG